UACGUAGGUGACAAGCGUUGUCCGGAUUUACUGGGCGUAAAGAGCGCGCAGGCGGUCGUUCAAGUCGAGUGUGAAAGCCCCCGGCUCAACUGGGGAGGGUCAUUCGAUACUGAUCGACUCGAAGGCAGGAGAGGGAAGUGGAAUUCCCGGUGUAGUGGUGAAAUGCGUAGAUAUCGGGAGGAACACCAGUGGCGAAGGCGACUUCCUGGCCUGUUCUUGACGCUGAGGCGCGAAAGCGAUGGGGAGCAAA
Molecule: ribosomal RNA, 250 nt
Filed under: uncultured bacterium
Lineage: Bacteria
Description: partial 16S ribosomal RNA
Rfam family: Bacterial small subunit ribosomal RNA
Source: RNAcentral